Molecule: long non-coding RNA, 2891 nt
Organism: Capsicum annuum
Lineage: Eukaryota; Viridiplantae; Streptophyta; Magnoliopsida; Solanales; Solanaceae
Exons: 3
Source: RefSeq, a predicted model, not a curated record
GUCAUUUUAAAUAGCUUCUUAAGGGUCAUUUCCGUCAUUUUGAUAGGGCCAACCUUCAACUUUUCUUCAUUAUUUACACCCUUUUUUUAUUUGUCUUGUUUACACUGCCUUUCACUAAAUAUAAAUAAAACUUUUCUCAUUAAUUAACUAUUAACUACUCCAUCAUCUCCUUCUUCUUCUUUCAUUGCACGGUUGCUUUUUUUGGUGUUUAUAGUGUUUUUUGAAUUUAAUUUGGUUUGGAUUUACAAAUUGUUAACUUAAUUAGGUAGUUCAUAUUGGAUUCUUGGAACUUUGGUAGAUGUUUUGUUGCUAAAAAGGGUGCUUUUUAUGGUGUCUAUUGUUGGAUUUAGUUGUAAAGAUUAUAUUUUCGCUUAGUAUUUGGUAGCAAGAGGCAAUAAUUGGUAGUUUUAUUUGGUUGAAAGUUGGAAAAAGUCGUUUCUGUAGCUCAAAUAAAUUCCCCCCCUCUAUUGUACACUUGAAUUUGGUGGGUUUUGAAAAAUUUUCUACAAAUUUGAGCUGAAUUAGGAAGUGCAGUUUGAAAAAUUCGACAAGAAUCAAGUGUUAUUCCGUAAGAGGUGGCGGGUUUGGAUUUUGCGAAAGAUAAAAAGUUUGAGCCGUUGAAAGUUUUAGCUAAUUUUCAUGAUGAAGUUGUGUAGGCUAAAGGAACUGUUGCUUCAAGGACUGUUGUUAGAUUUGGUUAUAGAAAAUCUAAGCUGGCUUUGGUAAACAUUAGUAUUCUUCCAGUUCAAUUCUAUAAAGCAAAUCUUGAUUAUGGUUGUGUACUUGGUUAAGUGCUUUUCUAUGUUUUUUGUUCUUGUAGAUUUUUGUUUUAUUCUGUUUGUUGUAUGUAGGUAUUUGCAAACUUGUUGGUUGAUCCAUAUCAAAUAAUGAUGGCUAAUGUUGCAACUGCAUUAAGGAAGAUUCGGGUACGAAAUUGAGAGUUGAAGCUGCCUAUGCUGCACAUCCACAGCUGGUGUAUUUAUAUACAACAACAACAUACCCAGUGUAUUCCCACCUAGUGGGAUCUGGGGAGGAUAGAGUGUACGUAGACCAUACCACUACCUCAAGAGAAGUAGAGAGGCUGUUUUCGAUAGACCCCCGACUUAGGACCAAUAACAGUAUAACCAAUACAAAAAGUAAGCGCAUAUAAACUAGUAUGGUACACAAAACAAACUAACAGUACAACAAACACAAAAGAUAAGUGCAUAAUAAACUAGUACGGGAUGCAAAAAGCCAACAUCACUAGCCCCAAAAACUACAGCCACAACACUACGAACCAGAAACUCCAGAACCAAAGGAGCACUCCCCUAUUACUACCGCCGCGCUCCCACCCCCUAACCCUCUAUCCUAAUCUGUUUCCUCCACACCUUUCUAUUAAGGGUCAUGUCCUCUGUAAGCUGUAAUUGCUCCAUAUCAUGCCUAAUCACCUUCCUCCAAUUUUUCUUCGGUCUACCUCUAGCUUGCCUAAAACCAUCCAUAGCCAGAGUCUAACACCUCCGCACUGGAGCAUUAGGGCCCCUCCUCAUCACAUGCCCGAACUAACGUAGCCUCACUUCUCGCAACUUAUACUCUAUCGAGGCAACUCUCACCUUCUUCCGAAUAAUCUCAUUCCUCACCCUAUCUUUCCUGGUAUGUCCACACAUCCAUCGCAAUAUUCGCAUCUCUGCCACCUUUACGUUUUGGAUGUGGGAGUUCUUAACUAGCCAACACUCCGCUCCAUACAACAUAGUCGUUUGGACUACCACUCUGUAGAACUUACCUUUAAGCUUCGGGGGCACCUUCUUAUCACAAAGGACUCCCGAAGCGAUCUUCCACUUCAACCACCCUGCCCCAAUACGAUGCGUGACAUCCUCGUCAAUCUCACCAUUACCUGUUUUAUGAAAUUAUCUCAAUAAUUGUUUCUUUUAAAUUAAUGAAGAUCAACGUACUGGUUGUAGGUAGAAUUAUUCUUUAACAAUCACAAUUAUUGUCCUCAAUUUGAUAAGACCUCUUGCUACUUGGGAAAGAACAUUCUGGAAAAAGAACAAUGGGAUUUCAUUAUUGUAGAGUUUGAGCUCCAGGUGUCUCAUUGAAGGCUCUAUGGGCACGACGUCGAUUUUUAAUUCCCCCCACUCUUUUGCCUUCUUCUCUCCAUUUGAAACUAAGGUCUAUGGCACUUCACUGCUCGGAGUAGUGAAGAAAUAAAGAGAUCUAUCAUUUUUUUUCUUCGACUUCAACAUCAUUCUUCCUGAUAAGUUUUUCUUUACGUCCACUGUAUUACUCAAGUUUUGGUUUCAUUAGCUUUUCGGUGUUGGGAUCUUUUGUUCCGAUGAAUUUUGUUGGCGGCCUUUGUUUUCUAAAAAUUGGGCAACUUUUGCUGCCGAAUUUUGAUUGUGGGUUUUUCCUUUGGAGUGUUACUUAGCUUUUACUGCUAAAUUUUGUGGGUGAUUUGGGUUUUAAGUAGCUUUUACAGUUGAAUUUUGACGCUUUGGCUUUGGAAGUCUUGCCUGUUGCUAGAUAACUCUUAUGAUUUUUUUCAGAGUACCCUUACAGUUUGACGAGCAACAAGGUUUGUAGACUCUCCAGAGGGAUUUGCCUGUUCAGAGACACGAGUUCCAGAUCAACAGUAGAUUCUAGUCUCAGCAGUCAGAAUAGAAGUGAGUCCUCAUCCUUUGAGGACAUGAUUAUUUUGCCACUAUUUCAUUGAUUAGUUAUCAGUUGGAGUUAGUUGGGGACAUGUCCCAUCAACUCCUUAUUCAGAUUAUUCAGACAGUAGAGACUUUCAGACUAGAUGCAGACUAUUGUGUUUCAGACUUCAGUGUUUACAGAUUUUUUUUGGGUAUUGUAUUACCCCACAGAUGUUAUAUCAUUCAGAUUAUGUCCAGUAUUGAACUUUUUGGCCUUUCAGUACA